RNAcentral lists this unclassified non-coding RNA (376 nucleotides) under Hevea brasiliensis (rubber tree). Lineage: Eukaryota; Viridiplantae; Streptophyta; Magnoliopsida; Malpighiales; Euphorbiaceae. The record is from RNAcentral.
GGACUUCCAAACUCAUCCAAGACAACAUUUCUCCCCCUAGGACCAAGAGUAAGCCCAACAGCAUCAGCAAGCUUAUCAAUGCCUGCCUGAAGUGCAGUCCUUGAGUUCUGGUCAAAGGCAAUAUCUUUGGCAUUAGCUCGCACUGUGAAUCUUCUGACUGAUUGCCCAUAAUUCAGCCUUUGAUUCUGCUGUUGAUUCAGUCUCCUCCUCAAGCUCCACUGUUUAGGAGAGCAAAGAAUUGAAGCUGAGGAGACAGCAUUAGAAGUUGCCAUUUCCAGAAUCACNNNNNNNNNGCACAGAAAGUAGGGUUUCUGUGGUUUAAGCUCGUUGAUGGUGAGCGUGCGGAUAAGGAGAGUAGGUAAGUUCUAAACCCUAA